UCCGUAGGUGAACCUGCGGAAGGAUCAUUAUCGUAAAACUGAGGCAUGAGGGCUGUCGCUGACUUUGUGUCGUGCACGCCCGAGUGCUCUCAAACAUCCAUCUCACCCCUAUGUGCACCACCGCGUGGGUCCCCUUUCGACUCGUUCGGAGGGGGGCUCGCGUUUUCACACAAACUCGAUACAGUGUAGAAUGUCUUCCUUUGCGAUCACACGCAAUUAAUACAACUUUCAACAACGGAUCUCUUGGCUCUCGCAUCGAUGAAGAACGCAGCGAAAUGCGAUACGUAAUGUGAAUUGCAGAAUUCAGUGAAUCAUCGAAUCUUUGAACGCACCUUGCGCCCCUUGGCAUUCCGAGGGGCACACCCGUUUGAGUGUCGUGAAAUUCUCAAAACCUUUCUUUGGAAAGGAUUUUGGACUUGGAGGCCUUUUGCUGGUUUCACCUCGAAGCGAGCUCCUCCCAAAUGGAUUAGUGGGGUCUGCUUUGCCGAUCCUUGACGUGAUAAGAUGUUUCUACGUCUUGGGUUUGGCACUGUCACUCGGGCAUCCGCUUCUAACCGUCUCGUCGACAACGAUGGCGUUCCGGUCUCCACCGUUUCAUCGGUGGGAGGCUUGACCCACCAAAAAACCUUGACCUCAAAUCGGGUGAGACUACCCGCUGAACUUAAGCAUAUCAAUAAGCGGAGGAAAUCUCU
RNAcentral lists this ribosomal RNA (692 nucleotides) under uncultured Russula. Its description in RNAcentral is "eukaryotic LSU rRNA". The stretch from base 224 to 377 matches the Rfam family "5.8S ribosomal RNA". The record is from RNAcentral. Lineage: Eukaryota; Fungi; Basidiomycota; Agaricomycetes; Russulales; Russulaceae.